RNAcentral lists this long non-coding RNA (453 nucleotides) under Gallus gallus (chicken). Lineage: Eukaryota; Metazoa; Chordata; Aves; Galliformes; Phasianidae. The record is from RNAcentral.
CAGGGUCACGUUGUCACCCACAAAACAGGUCUUUGGGGGCUCCAAUUCCAGCGAGGGGACUUUUAUCUCCACAGAGCAUGCAGGCUCCUCCUGCUCAACAACGUGGCUCCCGACACACUUGAACACUUUGCGGUGCGAGAGGUGGGAGCUGUUCAGUGUCUCCACGUGGGUGUCUGAGGAGCUCGUGGAGCUGAUGAGCCAGCUGGAGUUCUCCAGAUCGUGCCCCUCUUCUGUCCAGUGCAGGGUGGGGUGGGGAUAACCCCCGGGCCAACUGCAAAACAGCUGCAGCAUCAGCCCUGAGGAGGAGGUCUCAGCCCAGCACUUUGGGGUGGACCGUGGUGGAUCUGUCAGCAAGAAGGGAACACAGACAGAAACAUAUCCAAGUCACUUGGUGUCCCAGGGCUGGAACCUCUGCAAAAGCUUGGUUUUGCAAUCAUUCUCCUUGAAAGUCUC